AGACCCGAAACCCGGUGAUCUAGCCAUGGGCAGGUUGAAGGUUGGGUAACACUAACUGGAGGACCGAACCGACUAAUGUUGAAAAAUUAGCGGAUGACCUGUGGCUGGGGGUGAAAGGCCAAUCAAACCGGGAGAUAGCUGGUUCUCCCCGAAAGCUAUUUAGGUAGCGCCUCGUGAAUUCAUCUCCGGGGGUAGAGCACUGUUUCGGCUAGGGGGCCAUCCCGGCUUACCAACCCGAUGCAAACUGCGAAUACCGGAGAAUGUUAUCACGGGAGACACACGGCGGGUGCUAACGUCCGUCGUGAAGAGGGAAACAACCCAGACCGCCAGCUAAGGUCCCAAAGUCAUGGUUAAGUGGGAAACGAUGUGGGAAGGCCCAGACAGCCAGGAUGUUGGCUUAGAAGCAGCCAUCAUUUAAAGAAAGCGUAAUAGCUCACUGGUCGAGUCGGCCUGCGCGGAAGAUGUAACGGGGCUAAACCAUGCACCGAAGCUGCGGCAGCGACACUCAGGUGUUGUUGGGUAGGGGAGCGUUCUGUAAGCCUGCGAAGGUGGCCUGUGAGGGUUGCUGGAGGUAUCAGAAGUGCGAAUGCUGACAUAAGUAACGAUAAAGCGGGUGAAAAGCCCGCUCGCCGGAAGACCAAGGGUUCCUGUCCAACGUUAAUCGGGGCAGGGUGAGUCGACCCCUAAGGCGAGGCCGAAAGGCGUAGUCGAUGGGAAACGGGUUAAUAUUCCCGUACUUGGUGUUACUGCGAAGGGGGGACGGAGAAGGCUAUGUUGGCCGGGCGACGGUUGUCCCGGUUUAAGCGUGUAGGCUGGUUUUCCAGGCAAAUCCGGAAAAUCAAGGCUGAGGCGUGACGACGAGGCACUACGGUGCUGAAGCAACAAAUGCCCUGCUUCCAGGAAAAGCCUCUAAGCAUCAGGUAACACGAAAUCGUACCCCAAACCGACACAGGUGGUCAGGUAGAGAAUACCAAGGCGCUUGAGAGAACUCGGGUGAAGGAACUAGGCAAAAUGGUGCCGUAACUUCGGGAGAAGGCACGCUGACA
Molecule: ribosomal RNA, 1046 nt
Filed under: Salmonella enterica
Lineage: Bacteria; Pseudomonadati; Pseudomonadota; Gammaproteobacteria; Enterobacterales; Enterobacteriaceae
Description: partial 23S ribosomal RNA
Rfam family: Bacterial large subunit ribosomal RNA
Source: RNAcentral